RNAcentral lists this long non-coding RNA (251 nucleotides) under Anser brachyrhynchus (Pink-footed goose). RNAcentral's name for it is "lncRNA (ENSABRG00000001505.1)". The record is from RNAcentral. Lineage: Eukaryota; Metazoa; Chordata; Aves; Anseriformes; Anatidae.
CGCGCCGGGGCCGGGCCGGGGUCCGGCCGGAGCCUCCGCUGCCUCCAGCGCCGCGCCGCCCCCGGGGCUGCGGCUCUGCCCGCGCCGCCGCUCCCGCGCCAUGGGCAGCCGGGGAAGCGGAGCCGAGCGAGGAGCGGAGGGUGGCCGUGCCCGACACUUUGCCAUGUAAACCUCCCCGGCCUCGCACACCGCAGCACAGACAGAUGUCGGCACAGCCCCGGACCUGCAGAACGGUGAGUGAGGGGCACCGG